Molecule: ribosomal RNA, 497 nt
Filed under: uncultured bacterium
Lineage: Bacteria
Description: partial 16S ribosomal RNA
Rfam family: Bacterial small subunit ribosomal RNA
Source: RNAcentral
GAUGAACGCUGGCGGCGUGCCUAAUACAUGCAAGUCGAGCGAACAGACGAGGAGCUUGCUCCUCUGACGUUAGCGACGGACGGGUGAGUAACACGUGGAUAACCUACCUAUAAGACUGGGAUAACUUCGGGAAACCGGAGCUAAUACCGGAUAAUAUAUUGAACCGCAUGGUUCAAUAGUGAAAGACGGUUUUGCUGUCACUUAUAGAUGGAUCCGCGCCGCAUUAGCUAGUUGGUAAGGUAACGGCUUACCAAGGCGACGAUGCGUAGCUGACCUGAGAGGGUGAUCGGCCACACUGGAACUGAGACACGGUCCAGACUCCUACGGGAGGCAGCAGUAGGGAAUCUUCCGCAAUGGGCGAAAGCCUGACGGAGCAACGCCGCGUGAGUGAUGAAGGUCUUCGGAUCGUAAAACUCUGUUAUUAGGGAAGAACAAAUGUGUAAGUAACUAUGCACGUCUUGACGGUACCUAAUCAGAAAGCCACGGCUAACUACGUG